Molecule: ribosomal RNA, 465 nt
Filed under: Vreelandella stevensii
Lineage: Bacteria; Pseudomonadati; Pseudomonadota; Gammaproteobacteria; Oceanospirillales; Halomonadaceae
Description: partial 16S ribosomal RNA
Rfam family: Bacterial small subunit ribosomal RNA
Source: RNAcentral
CCUACGGGUGGCAGCAGUGGGGAAUAUUGGACAAUGGGCGAAAGCCUGAUCCAGCCAUGCCGCGUGUGUGAAGAAGGCCUUCGGGUUGUAAAGCACUUUCAGUGGGGAAGAAAGCCUUGGGGCUAAUACCCUCGAGGAAGGACAUCACCCACAGAAGAAGCACCGGCUAACUCCGUGCCAGCAGCCGCGGUAAUACGGAGGGUGCGAGCGUUAAUCGGAAUUACUGGGCGUAAAGCGCGCGUAGGCGGUCUGAUAAGCCGGUUGUGAAAGCCCCGGGCUCAACCUGGGAACGGCAUCCGGAACUGUCAGGCUAGAGUGCAGGAGAGGAAGGUAGAAUUCCCGGUGUAGCGGUGAAAUGCGUAGAGAUCGGGAGGAAUACCAGUGGCGAAGGCGGCCUUCUGGACUGACACUGACGCUGAGGUGCGAAAGCGUGGGUAGCGAACAGGAUUAGAUACCCCAGUAGUC